Molecule: ribosomal RNA, 498 nt
Filed under: uncultured bacterium
Lineage: Bacteria
Description: partial 16S ribosomal RNA
Rfam family: Bacterial small subunit ribosomal RNA
Source: RNAcentral
GGAUGAACGCUGGCGGCGUGCCUAAUACAUGCAAGUCGAGCGAACGGAUGAGAAGCUUGCUUCUCUGAUGUUAGCGGCGGACGGGUGAGUAACACGUGGAUAACCUACCUAUAAGACUGGGAUAACUUCGGGAAACCGGAGCUAAUACCGGAUAAUAUUUUGAACCGCAUGGUUCAAAAGUGAAAGACGGUCUUGCUGUCACUUAUAGAUGGAUCCGCGCUGCAUUAGCUAGUUGGUAAGGUAACGGCUUACCAAGGCAACGAUGCAUAGCCGACCUGAGAGGGUGAUCGGCCACACUGGAACUGAGACACGGUCCAGACUCCUACGGGAGGCAGCAGUAGGGAAUCUUCCGCAAUGGGCGAAGGCCUGACGGAGCAACGCCGCGUGAGUGAUGAAGGUCUUCGGAUCGUAAAACUCUGUUAUUAGGGAAGAACAUAUGUGUAAGUAACUGUGCACAUCUUGACGGUACCUAAUCAGAAAGCCACGGCUAACUACGUG